UCCCCGCGCCCUCAGCGCUUGGCCGCGGCCCCGUACGCCUGCGACCCCAGCGCCCACCAGCUGCCGCGCCACCACCCGCGACCCCGACCCCGACACCCAGCGCCCACCACCUGCGACCCCGACGCUCACCGGCCGCAGCGCGCGUUCCCCCGCGACCCCGACGCCCGCCCGCCGUUGUGUACCCUUGCGACCUCGGCGCCCACCCGCCGCCGCGCGCGUACCCUGCGACCCCGACGCCCACCGGCCGCGGCGUGCAUCCCCCAGCGACCCGACGCCCGUCCGCCCAUCACCUACUCCCACGACGUGGCAAGGACCACCAUCUCUUCUGGGGCAGCAACGAAGAAGCCUAGGGCCAAAUCCCAAUCUCUGAACAGAUUUGAAGUGAUUGAAGUAUAGAGAUAAGAUCUUGAUCUUUUCAAGGAAGGUUGGAGAGGGAAAAAAGGGCAGCGAUCUGCAUUUGUGUUUGGUUGGAGAAAAGGGCAGCUGUGCAACCAAAGCUUGAAGAAAGAUUGGAGAGUAGUACUGCUGAAGACAUGCAGGCAUAGGCAGGGUUUAUCCAGAAAACCGUCAAGGGGGACCUAUUCAUCAAAGGAAAUUAUGUAAUUCGACCAUGUAAACACCAUGGGAAGGUUCUAGAAGACUCCAGGAGGCUAACCCCAAAACCUUUGUUUUGGAUGUCGGUUCUCCACCGCCUCCUAGAUUGUAUCUUCACUGUUUAUUCAAGUUUGUUUGAUCCAGGGCUUGGAUUGAUGCUCCGACCUAUAUAUAGCAGCCUCUACUCUCCUCCCUUAGGCAUAAGUCAAAGCAAAAGAUAGAGAUUAAACCCUAAUCCUAUGAGUUUCAUUCUAGGGCAUAGCUAGUUAGGUUAGAUCUAGAGAGAGGCAAGUAGGCUUCGCUUGGAUUCUCGAUCAUGUCAAGAACGUGGCUCGGUAUAACCUUUGUACCCUCUCUCUUUUAUAUCUCCAUUACUUUUAUAUGU
This is a long non-coding RNA of Sorghum bicolor (sorghum), 979 nucleotides long. RefSeq lists it as uncharacterized. The transcript has 4 exons. The record is from RefSeq and is a predicted model, not a curated record. Lineage: Eukaryota; Viridiplantae; Streptophyta; Magnoliopsida; Poales; Poaceae.